GGGCUUAACUGUCUCCCCCUUCCAGUCAGUGAAAUUGAUCUAUCCGUGCAGAAGCGGGUAUAAUAUUACAAGACGAGAAGACCCUUUGGAGCUUAAGGUACAAAAUUCAGCCAUGUUAAGCAACUCCACAGAAAGCAAGAACUUAAUGGCCAUGAAGUUUUACCUUCGGUUGGGGCGACCACGGAGGAAAAGCAAGCCUCCGAGUGGACUGGGCCAAGACCCCUAAAGCCAAGAGAGACAUCUCUAAGCCGCAGAACAUCUGACCAAUAAUGAUCCGGCUAAUAAAGCCGAUCAACGGACCAAGUUACCCUAGGGAUAACAGCGCAAUCCUCUCCCAGAGCCCAUAUCGACGAGGGGGUUUACGACCUCGAUGUUGGAUCAGGACAUCCUGGUGGUGCAGCCGCUAUUAAGGGUUCGUUUGUUCAACGAUUAAAGUCCUACGUGAUCUGAGUUCAGACCGGAGCAAUCCAGGUCAGUUUCUAUCUGUAACGCUACUUUUCCCAGUACGAAAGGAUCGGAAAAGAGGGGCCUAUACCUAACGCAUGCCCCACCCCUAAUUCAUGAAAACAAAUAAAUAAAAUAAGGGAGGGCCAAAACCCUGCCGCCC
Molecule: ribosomal RNA, 607 nt
Filed under: Hybognathus regius (eastern silvery minnow)
Lineage: Eukaryota; Metazoa; Chordata; Actinopteri; Cypriniformes; Leuciscidae
Description: partial 16S ribosomal RNA
Rfam family: Bacterial large subunit ribosomal RNA
Source: RNAcentral